This 385-nucleotide long non-coding RNA is filed under the name Populus trichocarpa (black cottonwood). Its description in RNAcentral is "long non-coding RNA (PTRI_LNC003243)". Lineage: Eukaryota; Viridiplantae; Streptophyta; Magnoliopsida; Malpighiales; Salicaceae. The record is from RNAcentral.
UCGGUCUCAAAUACUUUAUAAAUUCCUGAUAAAUCCGCUGUGCCCAGCGGGAUUGGCGAAUAAAAAUAAGAUUACAAUGGAGUCACUUAAAUUUCAAACCAGUUUGGAAGCCCAGAUGGAAAGUUAGAUAGGUUCGAAGGCGAGAGAGCCAAAAAUACGUGCCAGUGACCAAGUAAUUCAAAAAAAAAAAAGAAAUCCGAAAUUCCUCUCCCAAAAGAGGAAAAUUGCCAUCACCUCCCUGUCUAUCUCUCUCGCUCUCUGUAUGUCUCCAAAGUAUUCUAAAAACAGCCCACGAAUGGUAAACACGGCCUCCUGUCCCCCCCCACCCACCUUAUUUCUUUCGUUCAAGCCACACAAACACCAGCAUCCACAAAAAAGAAAAUAG